Molecule: transfer RNA, 76 nt
Filed under: Campylobacterota bacterium
Lineage: Bacteria; Pseudomonadati; Campylobacterota
Description: Epsilonproteobacteria bacterium (mullusc metagenome) tRNA-Arg
Rfam family: tRNA
About the family: Transfer RNA (tRNA) molecules are approximately 80 nucleotides in length.
Source: RNAcentral
GUCCUCAUCGCUUAACUGGAUAAAGCAGGGCCCUCCUAAGGCGUAGCUGGAAGUUCGAGUCUUCCUGGGGAUACCA